Molecule: transfer RNA, 72 nt
Filed under: Acanthemblemaria sp. AC-2023
Lineage: Eukaryota; Metazoa; Chordata; Actinopteri; Blenniiformes; Chaenopsidae
Description: tRNA-Thr
Rfam family: tRNA
About the family: Transfer RNA (tRNA) molecules are approximately 80 nucleotides in length. Their secondary structure includes four short double-helical elements and three loops (D, anti-codon, and T loops).
Source: RNAcentral
GUACUAGUAGCUCAGCUUCAGAGCAUCGGUCUUGUAAACCGGGUGUCGGGGGUUAAAUCCCCCCCUCGUACU